This 468-nucleotide ribosomal RNA is filed under the name uncultured bacterium. RNAcentral describes it as "partial 16S ribosomal RNA". It matches the Rfam family "Bacterial small subunit ribosomal RNA", at positions 28 to 507 of the family's 1533-position model. The record is from RNAcentral.
GACGAACGCUGGCGGCGUGCUUAACACAUGCAAGUCGAACGGAAAGGCCCUGCAGUUGUGGGGUGCUCGAGUGGCGAACGGGUGGGUAACACGUGAGUAACCUACCCUUGACUUUGGGAUAACUUCCGGAAACUGAGGAUAAUACCGGAUACGAGCUCCUUCUGCAUGGUGUGGGGUGGAAAGUUUCGGCGGUUGGGGCUGGACGCGCGGCAUCUCAGCUUGUUGGUGGGGUAGUGGCGUACGAAGGCUUUGACGGGUAGCCGGCUUGGGAGGGUGACCGGCCCCAUAGGGACUGGGGUACGGGCAGUAGUCAUACGUGCGGAAGCAGUGGGGAACAUUGCACAAUGGGCGGAAGCCGGAAGCAGCAACGUCGCGUGCGGGAUGACGGCCUUCGGGGUGGAAACCGCUUUCGCCGGAGACGAAGAGUGAGUGACGGUAACGGGUAAAGAAGCAACGGCUAACUACGUG